This 82-nucleotide transfer RNA is filed under the name Flexiglena variabilis. RNAcentral's name for it is "tRNA-Leu". It matches the Rfam family "tRNA". From Rfam's summary of the family: Transfer RNA (tRNA) molecules are approximately 80 nucleotides in length. Their secondary structure includes four short double-helical elements and three loops (D, anti-codon, and T loops). Further hydrogen bonds mediate the characteristic L-shaped molecular structure. tRNAs have two regions of fundamental functional importance: the anti-codon, which is responsible for specific mRNA codon recognition, and the 3' end, to which the tRNAs corresponding amino acid is attached (by aminoacyl-tRNA synthetases). tRNAs cope with the degeneracy of the genetic code in two manners: having more than one tRNA (with a specific anti-codon) for a particular amino acid; and 'wobble' base-pairing, i.e. permitting non-standard base-pairing at the 3rd anti-codon position. The record is from RNAcentral. Lineage: Eukaryota; Euglenozoa; Euglenophyceae; Euglenales; Phacaceae.
ACGGGCGUGGUGAAAUUGGUAGACGCGCGGGAUUUAGGUUCCCGUGUCUUAUGACAUGAGAGUUCGAGUCUCUCCGCCCGUA